Molecule: transfer RNA, 87 nt
Filed under: Rheinheimera sp.
Lineage: Bacteria; Pseudomonadati; Pseudomonadota; Gammaproteobacteria; Chromatiales; Chromatiaceae
Also listed under: 1 other name
Description: tRNA-Leu
Rfam family: tRNA
About the family: Transfer RNA (tRNA) molecules are approximately 80 nucleotides in length. Their secondary structure includes four short double-helical elements and three loops (D, anti-codon, and T loops). Further hydrogen bonds mediate the characteristic L-shaped molecular structure. tRNAs have two regions of fundamental functional importance: the anti-codon, which is responsible for specific mRNA codon recognition, and the 3' end, to which the tRNAs corresponding amino acid is attached (by aminoacyl-tRNA synthetases). tRNAs cope with the degeneracy of the genetic code in two manners: having more than one tRNA (with a specific anti-codon) for a particular amino acid; and 'wobble' base-pairing, i.e. permitting non-standard base-pairing at the 3rd anti-codon position.
Source: RNAcentral
GCCCGGGUGGUGAAAUCGGUAGACACAAGGGAUUUAAAAUCCCUCGGGGGUAACCCCGUGCCGGUUCAAGUCCGGCCCCGGGCACCA